Molecule: transfer RNA, 74 nt
Filed under: Staphylococcus aureus
Lineage: Bacteria; Bacillati; Bacillota; Bacilli; Caryophanales; Staphylococcaceae
Also listed under: 2 other names
Description: tRNA-Pro
Rfam family: tRNA
About the family: Transfer RNA (tRNA) molecules are approximately 80 nucleotides in length. Their secondary structure includes four short double-helical elements and three loops (D, anti-codon, and T loops). Further hydrogen bonds mediate the characteristic L-shaped molecular structure. tRNAs have two regions of fundamental functional importance: the anti-codon, which is responsible for specific mRNA codon recognition, and the 3' end, to which the tRNAs corresponding amino acid is attached (by aminoacyl-tRNA synthetases). tRNAs cope with the degeneracy of the genetic code in two manners: having more than one tRNA (with a specific anti-codon) for a particular amino acid; and 'wobble' base-pairing, i.e. permitting non-standard base-pairing at the 3rd anti-codon position.
Source: RNAcentral
CGGGAAGUAGCUCAGCUUGGUAGAGCACUUGGUUUGGGACCAAGGGGUCGCAGGUUCGAAUCCUGCCUUCCCGA